Molecule: long non-coding RNA, 3222 nt
Organism: Zalophus californianus (California sea lion)
Lineage: Eukaryota; Metazoa; Chordata; Mammalia; Carnivora; Otariidae
Exons: 3
Source: RefSeq, a predicted model, not a curated record
GGGGCCUGGGUGGCUCAGUGGGUUAAGUGUCCAACUCUUGAUUUCAGCUCAGGUCAUGAUCUCAGGGUCGUGUGAUCGAGCUCCGUGUUGGACUCGACACUCAGCAGUCUGCUCCAGGUUCUCUCUCUCCCUUUCCCUCUGCCCCUCCCCCUGCUCUCUCUAUCUCUAAAAUCAAUAAAAUCUUUAAAAGGCUUAGAAAUAUAUAAUAAAGACUUUCUAAUCUAUAAGACAGCUAUGAGUAUAAAUUGAAUUAUUUAGAAUAAAAAUCCAUGUGGUCAAGAAUAAAUCCCAAAUAAUGUGAAUGACACAUUUUAGUUGAUGCAAAAUGUGCCCUUUAACAACAUGUAAACAUAGUUGGUAUUUAAAUAACAGUUAUGUUCAGUACUGUAUUCUUCUAGAGCUGAAGGAUAAAGUCUCUGUCCUGCACAUGUUCUGUAAGAACAAGAUGAAAAAUUGCUUGAGGCUUUAUUUGUAUCCAAACAUGAGAGACUUGCAACACAUGCAAAGGUUGUAAAUUAGACCAUUUAAAAAUGUCCUAAAACCUGUUUGCUGAAAAGUCGUGCUGCAUACUGAGAGUUUACCUGUAGUAGAAGAUGGCAACAGGUUACAUUUGCAUUUUCUUUUAGGGCUAAGCAGUAAAAAGUUAUUUUUCUUUAUUCUGCCUCCAAUGUGAAGUAUUUGGAACCACAAGUUCCUCCUGUCCUUCAUCACUACUAAAGAACUACACACAUUUGAUAAUAGUGUACACAGUUAAUGGGAAUGUUACAUUGUUCAUAUUUUUAUGGUGGAGACCAAAGCAUAUUUCAUGGUUUGGGUAUAAUUUAAAAGAUGCAUUCUUCUGAGAAACUGAUUUCUUUUAUAAACAAAAUGCAAAUGCCUUAAAUAUUUCUUCAUUUUAAUGUGAUAAAUAGAAUUGCUUUUAAAGCCAUAGUCUGGUAUGGCUUGAUAAUCAGGUACACAUGAAGUAUUCAAGAUAAGAGCAUAAUGGUAUUGAUUUUCAGAACUUUAGAAAAUAUUGCUUGUGGGCAAAAGAAAGAAGGAAUGUUUAAAGCCAACUGUUCACUUUACUGUUUUAAUUUUUACCUUGUUUUCCGUUUUCAGGAGACAAGAGUGUAUAUCAUCUCAGAUACUAAAAAUAUUCCUCUGAAAGCUUUUAGUUUUUCAGGGGUAGUAGUCAACUAUUGUUUUCUUACUGUACAUGAAACGCCUAGAGAAAGUGACGUCUUUAGCCAAAUUAAUAAAACAUAGGAUAGAAAAUGCUUAGGCCAAUUUAUUCAUGUCCCUCUGAUAUUAAUUGUAUAGUUGAUAGCUAUGUAGAUUUUAGCAAUUUGUUGAGCAACUAACCUGGUUUCAAAAUGGGAUCUAGUUGCUCUCAAACUUUUCAGUCUCAGAAGCCCCUUCACAUUCUUAAAAAUUAUUGAGGGGCCCAGAGAGAGAGAACUUUUAUAGGGAUGUUAUCUGUUGACCUACAAAUAUUAGAGAUUAAGACACAUUUUCAGAAUAUUAAUUCAUUUUAAAAUAAAAAUAAACCCAUCAUUUGUUAACAUGAAGAACAAUAUUAUAAAAAUAACUAUUUUCUUUAAAAAGUUAGUAGAAUAGCAGUAUUUUACAUUUUUGCAAAAUCUCUUUAAUCUCUGACUUACAGAAGACAGCUGAAUCUAUCUGAUAAUGAAUGAAAAGUGGAGUUGGUAAUUUAGAGAGUCAGUUGGUUAUCCAUGUCAAAACAAUUUCAGAGACAGUCAUUUGAAGACAAGGACCAUGUCUCUUGCACACCAGGUUAUCCUCAGAGUCUGGCACAGUGUUGGGCAUAUAGUAGAGGGCCAGAUGAUAUUUGGUGUGUAAACUAUAUUGCAGUGGGUUGAGACACAAACAGGAGGUGGAGAUAUAGAUUCAAGGAGUACAAACACCUCCUUCAAGGCACAUGGUUGAGAAAAGAGAAAUGUCUCAGGUGCGUGGAGGCAGGAUCAGCAGAGGACUUAUAUUUUUUAAUUUUUUUAUUUAAAAAAAUUUUUAAAAAGAUUUAUUUACUUGAGAGAGAACACACGAGCAGGGGGGAGGGGUAGAGGGAGAAGCAGGCUCCCUGCUGAGCAGGGUCCUCCCCCCCACCCCCACGCAGAACUCGAUCCCAGGACCCUGGGAUCAUGACCUGAGCUGAAGGCAGAUGCCCAACUGACUGAGCCACCGAGGCACCCAGCAGAGGACUUUUAAAAGAGUAUUUCUAUGUGAGGGUAAACAAUACUGAACAAAAAAACAGCAGAGAGAAGUUGAGAACACAGUUGUACUUCCUAUGCUGACAACAGGCCUCUGAGCGCUGGAAAUAUGGAGGCAACUGAUCAGUGCCCAUGUGGGUAGGUACGGGCUGGCUACAAACCACGGAGGGAGUUGGCAGCACAGAAGGGACCAAAUAAAUUUAUAGUAGAGUCACGGAUGGAGCAUUCUUCCUGUAAGAACUCCUGGGAACUUUGGUGAUUUACCUCACAGACCAUCUGGUUUCAUUCAUGAUCCUUGGGAGCAUUCUCAAGUGAUCCCCACAUUCAGGGAAACUCCUUUACCUCCUUUUGUACGGAAGCUUCUGGCUGAGCUGGGUCUGAGGCUAGCCUCUUCUGUGAUAAUCUCCAAUCCUCGAGGGAGCACCAGACGUGUCUCAGCAUGAUAUCAUGGCCAUCCUGGGACUCUGGAGAACAACCAAGGGCUUCUUUUUAUGGCUCUUUGUAAGAUUUCUUCAUACUGCAUGAAAAUAAGAAACAGCUUUGUUAGAAAUCUGUCAUCUGGGGCACCUGGGUUGCUCAGUUGGUUAGGUGGCUGCCCUUGGCUCAGGGUCCUGGGAUCGAGCCCCACAUCAGGCUCCCUGCUCAGUGGGGGAGCCUGCUUCUCCCUCUGUCCCUCCCCCUCAACUUGUGUGCACUCUCUCAAAUAAAUAAAUAAAAUCUUUUAAAAAUAUCUGUCAUCUUACAACUGAGGCCAGACUAGUACCCUAGUACCAGUGGUAAACCCAGGAGCACAACCUGAGUCUCUUGUUUCUCAGGCCAGUCUAUUUUGUAGUUUUUGAAUCCUUUCCUUUCUGAAGGUAAUAUAUUAUCAAAGGUAGCUAGUUCUCACAUAAUAGGGAGAAUGAAAGGGUUAUUAAAAGAAUUGUUUCCUGGGGCACCUGGGUGGCUCAGUAGUUAAGCGUCUGCCUUCGGCUCCGGUCAUGAUCCCAGGAUUCUGGGAUCAAGCCCCGCA